RNAcentral lists this long non-coding RNA (862 nucleotides) under Populus trichocarpa (black cottonwood). RNAcentral describes it as "long non-coding RNA (PTRI_LNC001974)". The record is from RNAcentral. Lineage: Eukaryota; Viridiplantae; Streptophyta; Magnoliopsida; Malpighiales; Salicaceae.
UUUUAUAUAUAAAAUGCAUUGAUAUUCUUUGUUUUAUGUUUUGAAGGCACUUUUGGAUGAAAGAUGCAAAAAGGAGUAAAUUGGAGGUAAUUGGCAGAUUUGACGUUCAGUCGAUGUUUUGUGCAGAGCGUGAGUUCUAGAGAUCAAAAUGAAGUGAUUCUAGUGGCACUAAAACGCUAACAUCCAUACCUUUCUGGAAAUGUAAUGCAAGAAAAAUAAAAAGAGAAAGAUCAUGGAAAUCACAUCCUGCAAAGUCAAAUCUCGCAUUCUGCCAGUGUUGACCUUUGGCCAUUCAAAAUUUAAUAUCUGGAGCUACAGAAGUCCAAUUGAUGCAAACUCAAUUGUAUUAGAUUCCUGACUUAAAGACCUAUCAACGCUCCAAAUUUCAGCCAAAACCAAUGUCAUAUGAGGGAGAUAUGAUUUUUCAAAGAUGACAACUGAAUUCUGCCAGCAAACAGGUUUCGUGAAGAAACAAGUCCAAACUACAUUCCGAAGCAUCUAAACCGACAUCCAAGUUUUUAUAUCAGCAAUUUAGCUCCUCCAAGUCAGAGCUUGAAGAUUUCAUGCAAGACUAUUUCUCCUUUUAGGAAAAAUAGUUAUUGAAGUACUUAAAUGUAAACUGUCAACUCAAGGAAGGACUAUUUUGUAAAAUAGAGACUAGGGUUUCUUAGCAUAUAAAAAGAAAGAGAGAAGGAGGCAGCAGCCAGCAGAAAAGAGGGAGAGCAGAAGGAGGCAGCAGCCAGCAGAGAAUAAACACAAAUUCUCUCCUCUACAAACCCAAAAAUCAUGCUCUUUUCAUUCUUUAGAAGUAGUUGUUCAAUAGUUAUGCAAGGCUAAGCUCUUUUCUUGGUUGCAAGGACAC